AAUGUUCUGAGAUAUACGCAUGGUUUCUAUUUUGAACCUACGUAAUGAAUAAGGGAGCCCAAAAUGCCUGUCGGAUACCGGGCCCAUGGUAAGACCGUUCGUCGAAAGGGGAAGGUAGAAGGCAUGCUGCGGGCACCCACCUAUAGAGAGAUAGGUGUCAAAAUUGAAACGACGGUAUCUCAGAUCCACU
Molecule: non-coding RNA, 190 nt
Filed under: Clostridiales bacterium
Lineage: Bacteria; Bacillati; Bacillota; Clostridia; Eubacteriales
Description: 6S RNA
Rfam family: 6S / SsrS RNA
About the family: E. coli 6S RNA was the first non coding RNA to be sequenced, but its function was unknown until recently. It consists of 184 nucleotides that fold into an extended hairpin structure with a large single-stranded internal bulge.
Source: RNAcentral